RNAcentral lists this ribosomal RNA (433 nucleotides) under bacterium YGD3002. Its description in RNAcentral is "bacterial SSU rRNA". It matches the Rfam family "Bacterial small subunit ribosomal RNA", at positions 28 to 456 of the family's 1533-position model. The record is from RNAcentral.
GACGAACGCUGGCGGCACGCUUAACACAUGCAAGUCGAACGGAGUUAUUUGGAGCUUGCUUUGAAUAACUUAGUGGCGGACGGGUGAGUAACACGUGAGCAAUCUGCCCUUAAGAGGGGGAUAGCAGUUAGAAAUGACUGAUAAUACCGCAUAAGAUAGUAGUACCGCAUGGUACAGCUAUAAAAGAUCAUAUCGCUUAAGGAUGAGCUCGCGUCUGAUUAGCUGGUUGGUGAGGUAACGGCUCACCAAGGCAACGAUCAGUAGCCGGACUGAGAGGUUGGACGGCCACAUUGGGACUGAGACACGGCCCAGACUCCUACGGGAGGCAGCAGUGGGGAAUAUUGCACAAUGGAGGGAACUCUGAUGCAGCGAUGCCGCGUGAGGGAAGAAGGUUUUAGGAUUGUAAACCUCUGUGACAGCGACGAUAAUGACG